This 341-nucleotide ribosomal RNA is filed under the name uncultured bacterium. RNAcentral's name for it is "partial 16S ribosomal RNA". It matches the Rfam family "Bacterial small subunit ribosomal RNA", at positions 338 to 676 of the family's 1533-position model. The record is from RNAcentral.
CCUACGGGUGGCAGCAGUGAGGAAUAUUGGUCAAUGGGCGCGAGCCUGAACCAGCCAAGUAGCGUGAGGGAUGAAGGUUCUAUGGAUCGUACACCUCUUUUAUAAGGGAAUAAAGUGUGGGACGUGUCCUAUUUUGUAUGUACCUUAUGAAUAAGGAUCGGCUAACUCCGUGCCAGCAGCCGCGGUAAUACGGAGGAUCCGAGCGUUAUCCGGAUUUAUUGGGUUGAAAGGGUGCGUAGGCGGCUUUUUAAGUCAGAGGUGAAAGUCUGUGGCUCAAACCUAGAAUUGCCGUUGAAACUGGGGGUCUUGAGUAUGUUUGAGGCAGGCGGAAUGCGGGGUGU